GCAGUUCUCAUGAAGAAAGAAGUUUUGUGAUGUAUAAAUCUGCACUUUAACCAUUGCUCCAAGCAAGAUCAGGAGCGUAUUUACUUACUACGGAAGUGCCUGAUUAAGAUCAUGUCAUAACAUACAUGUGGAAGAGGGGCCAGAAGGGACAGGAAAAUAUGCAGUUACCAGCAUUGCUCAAGAAGCACUGAGACAAUGCCUAAUUUCUCUUCCACCCCAGACUAUUGAAACCUUCACAUGACAGUCAUUACAGAAGAGAAGGAACCUGGAACCAGGAUAAUAGAGGGAUUGUUUCUGCACUGCAUGGUUUUAAUGCAUGCCAGGAUGAAAAUGAAUCAACAACAGAGCUUGAGACAGCAAUUGGCUUACAGAUGCCUCUUCCCUCCUGCUGUAUGUCUUAAGGCUGCAACUGCUUCCUUUUUGGAGAUUAAAUUGGUGGAAAGUCUACAUGUGGACAUUAGCCAAGCAAAUUCUCUCCUCUAAGAGAAGUGUUGAUUGUGUGGAAAUUAUUAUUUUCCAGAAAUAGGGAAGGGUUCAAAUGAAACAGAUUCAGCUUGAGAAUUUAGUCAACUAGAUAGAAAUAAUCACUGAGUCAGCAAUGAGAGCAAUUCUAGAGCAACUCUGUUAUUUUCAUUAAAAAAUCUAGCUGUCAGAUUCGUUAUGAAAAAGAGAGCUGUCUCUGUCCACCUGAGGAGAUGAAACACACAUACAUUUCGACUGAUAUAGACCCUCAGCCAGUUCUGACAAUGUUUAUGGAAAAAUAAGCAUAAUUUAAAACUCUGGACAAGUGCAAGCAUCCCAAGAAGUGUGAACACAUUGUGUGGCUUAUCAAUAUUUCUUUUAGACUAUACAGGUAAACAGAGGUCUGCACUAUCCUGGCCAAGGUUUUCAUACUUGGUAUCUUGCUUUAGGAGUGGGAAAUCUCCUAAAGAGGCUGUGAGAUUCUGAGGCAGGGCCCAUGGUAGUUCAUGGUCAGGCUGCCUGGGCACAGUGCAGCAUCACAGGAAGCCACACUCUGCAGGGCACCCUCCAGGAUGCAGCCUCUGCUACUGCUUGCUGCUCUGCACUUCUUUCUCCUCAAUAUCUGGCUUACUGAAACCACACCUCCAUCUAACUUCUUGUUGAUUUUCUCCUUUUUCCAAUGGUUAAAAAAAAAAAUAUAUAUAUAUAUAUGCCAGACACUCAGUGGUAAAGAGUUAAACUAGGCACCUAGUUGAGCUGCAGCCUAAUCACAGCUGCCCUGCAGGAGGCUUUCAGUGCAUCUUGGUGAGAUCAGAGAAGGGGAUCUAGAGGUCCUGGAUAUCAGUCUCAUGGCUGGAUAACACAGUCCUUCCUUUCCUCUUCAUAUACCUCCUGGGUUACCUAUUUGGAUGCAAGAGCUUUGACUUAAGCAUGCUAUUUUUUUUUUAGCAUGGGAAACCUCUGGCAGGCUGUUUUAAUUGUUGACUAGAACUCAGCAGAAGAUUCUAUGACACAGCAUACAAACCAAUGAAUUGAGGACUUUGAAUCCCCUAACCAGUCCUUCAUGCCCUCUUUUCUCUUCCCCCCUUCUUUAGAAUUAACUCUUUUUUAUAAUUCAAGUGCUUACUUGUUGGUGGGUUAUAAAUCCCAAGUGGAUAUCCUUGUUUAAAUCUAUGAAUAGAUGUUGAUGUACAUGGGGAGCAGAUGCUGAUUUUUUAUUUAUUUAUUUAUUUUGCCUUACAUCUCUGACUGGAAAUACAAUGAAAACAAAUCACCGUUCAUGACAACAAAAAUUUUGGCUCUUGAGCAGGCCAAAAUCUGGUAAAAAUUAAUUCAUAAAAUUUGCGGUUCUCUUGGGGCUAUUUUGUCCUGGUGAUUUUUUCAGCUACUCAUCUCAGGACAGGGGCAGAUUUUUUAUUUUGUUGAUGAAUAUUAGAAAGGAAGGCAGUUUUGCUUUCUCAAAGGAAGGACACACUGCUCAUGGCCAAGAUUUUUACUGUACCUUGUAAUUAACCAAAAGUAUAAUAUAAUAAGACAGCACUCUAUCUAUGAGUCUAGUUAUCAUUUGGUUGGCAAAGGACACAUGCUGUAUAUAUAACUUAUUCUGUUGUCCAGACAACAGUAUGCUUGAGAAUUGUUAGAGGGUAUGGAGAAAAUGUGAACUGUAUUUAGUAAAGCUAUAGCAGAGAGGCUGAACUUGACCUCUAGAGCUAGAAACUAUAGCAAUAAAGGAAUGGCUAUACCUUUAACAUAUGGGACUGGCAUACAGAACAAAUCUCAUGAAUGUUACAAAGUCAAAUAUUUAAGAUUAAUGCUCAAAGAGAACCUGCAUAACAUGUUUUCUCUUCGGCAGAAAGAAUUCAGUCAAUGCUCUACAGUGUCCAUACCAGUGAAAUAAGGAUGAACAUUUCACAUAAAGCCAUGACUACAAUCCUGCUCCUGCUCACUUAUGCCGUGGGGAUAAUAAAGAGCAGAGAAAAGCUUAGUUAAAAGGUCAGUUUGAUGCAGAGGCUGUUGUAUAGUCUAGACCUGUCAAGGUCUGUGCGUGCAGCCACAACACCUUCAGAGGAGGAGCUAUCAUAGAAUCAUAGAAUGGCUUGGUUUGGAAAGGACCUCAAAGAUCAUCCAGUUCCACCCCCCACCAUUGGCAGGGAUGCCCCACACUAGAUCAGGUUGCUCAAGGUCUAGUCUAACCUGGUCUUAAACACCUCCAGAGACGGAGAAUCCACAAUCUCCCCGGGCAACCUGUUCCAGUGCUUCACUGCCUUCUGAAUGAAGAAUUUCCUCCUAACUUCUAAUAUAAAUCUCCCCUUUUAGUUUAAAACAAUUCAUUCCCCCUCAUCCUGUCACUAUCUGAUUGAGCAAAGAGUUGCUCUCCAUCUUUUUUUAUAAGUCCCCUUCAGAUACUGAGAGUUGCAAUGAGGUUCCCCCAGAGCCUUCUCUUCUGUAGCCUCAACAUCCCCAGCUCUCUCAGCUUUUCUUCAUAGGAGAGGUGCUUCAGCCCUCUGAUAAUCCUCGUAGCCCUCCUCUGGACCUAUUUUUCAACAAUAAGACCAAGAUCUAGGCCAUAUUCAGAGGCUAUAAAUUCUCCCUGGAGAGCUAAAGACAUCUUGAAAAUGGGGCUUGGGCCCCUAAAGCAGAAAUGUAUGGCUCUAAAUACUGAGAACCACCAAAAUAUAUUUUAAAAAAUGGGCUGCCUGCUAUUUCUAUACAAGAAUUUCACAACUUUUUUUCCCAAUCCAAUCUAGGGGUUUAUUGCCAGGGCUUUCUCACAGAGCAGAAAAUCAGUCUAUACCAAUUUAGUUGUAAAGAAGAAUACAACUUUAUCCAAAAUGUCAAGCUUAGACAUUUCUGUGGAACAAAACUGAAAAUAAUUGAAAGUGUAAUUAUGGAUAAAGAUUAAGUUCAGCUGGGUUUAACUGGCUCUGAAAUAUUAAAUAACUCUGCAAGCUAAUGUUAUACUUUGUAGUAAGGGGACCCUAGAAAUAAGUUCAUGGCCUCUGAUUUCUAUAUAAAAAUCUGGAAGUAUGUUGCUGGGGUAGAUAAUCCUCUUAUUGCAUUGCCAAAAUUAUUUCAGAGAUUGUUUUGUGGAAAAAUUUGACCUGGAUUUAUUCAUAUAAAAGAUUUUCCAUUGCUGUCUAGCAAUUGCAAAUAGAGAGAUACAAAAGUGGAGGGGACAAAAAUAAAAAUAAAUUGUCUGUACUUUUCUUCCAGUUCAUACAGUAAUACUGUUAAUACUGUGCCAGGAAUCAGCACCACAAAGAGAUGAACUAUAUUGUUCAGAAAGGACUGACUGCAGCUUAGCACAGCUGGGGGGAACAGGCUCUAAGCACUACAGAGCUGCUGAUUAAAUACACUUCAGGCAUGCAUGGGAAGGGACCAAGUAGAAUAUAUUCUUGCAUGAUUUUGCUACUAAACUGCAAUUCAUUUUGCAAGCUAUUGAUGACAUAGGCUGAAUGUGCAGUAACUUCAUAACCAUCUCAAGAAAGGCUAAUGUACAAAAAACUCUAUAGAAAUAUUAACAUCUAACAGAAAAGGAAAGUAUUCCAGAGUAUCUUCACUACUGAAUCAAAAUCAGACCUGAUAAAUUUUAGAGAACUUCCAACAUAUAGGCUAUGCUGCCAUAGGGACGCCACUAAAACAUCUGGAAAAUAUUUCUAUGCUUACCCAUAAAAACCUCAGGUAUCUACCAAUAAAUAAAAUGAGCAGUCACUUAAAGUAAAGCUGCAGUGAACAGAACAUUGGAGACUGUCUCCUAUCUUUACCAAAUUGUCUCAGAAAGGGACACACUACUGUGAAGAAAAACAAGAAUUUGACUUUAAGGACUGUCCAGAUAAAGGUUAAUUUAGAACUAACACAAGACCUUCUCUCCACACUUUCUUACUGUGUCUUAGUUACUCUAAAGAAAAACUCCUUUUGCUACCAAUUGAUUUUUCUAAUGAUAAUAUUGAACUUCCCAAGGCUCAGUUAGUGUCAACUGCCCUUUGUCACACCUAGCCCCAUUACGGAGUACCACAUGGCCAGCUAUGAUAAGGUAAGCAAAUACUAGAGCUUGUUGCAAGCUUAUAUAUGGAAGAGGAACCUUUUUCUUCCAUUUUCAAUAGGUAUAUGAGAAAAUGUCAAAUGAAAACAAAAAAAAACAAAAACCCUACAACCCCAAAAGUAAAACAUAUGAGUAAAUUCAUAUAGACAGCUAGUGAAAAAGUUUGUGAGAGGUAAAGGGACAAGAGGUGUUGGCAGGAAUAACAUCAUCCUUGAAUUCAAAUACUGCUUCUUACCAAAGUACAAUCAGUCCACAUCAGAAUAGAUUUUAGUCAUAAAUUCUAGGUAGUUCUUGCAGCCAUGCAUCAGGACAUGGAGUUGUACGGACACGUUUCUGAGCUUUUCAUUUGAAAUUUUACAGUAUUAUCCUUCUGUCAUUCAAAAUGUCUGACAGGAUAUAUAAAGUCUCACUGUUACUAGUACACUCUCUGUGAUUCUUCAGAAUCAAACGAUACAUAAAAAGUACACUUUCAUUUCAGUGUUUACGUCACAGGUACAUUUGAUAAUAAUAAAGUAUAGCAGCUCUGUAGCAUCUAGUAGUUCAGUAACACUUAAUAAAAAACUAUACUUUUAAUCCUGAAACUCUUCUUUGCCUGGUAGAAACAGUGAGAAAAUUUAAUCUCAGCAUGUUCUCAUUUGGUGUAGACAUCCAACCUGAAAUAUUGUAAGUGCAGGUCUCACUGGACUACCUGAAACAUGGCAUAAAAUAAACAAAUAAAUAUAUAAAUAAAUAAAAAGAGAGAGAUUAAAUUAGAGGACAAAAUGUUGAAAAGUCACUGAUAAGUCAAACUCUGGAUAGGAGUUGUUAAGUCUGCAUAAAUUGUUAAAAAGGACCACUAACUUCAAGCCACAUACAAGCUGUGUUUACAAGCAGACAAGAAAUGUUACAGAAAUGUCCUAACUGUUCUUUUGUCUUCAAAAUACUUAAUCUGCUCUUUAUUACUACAUCCAAAAAUGCUAGAACUCUCAGUAUUAAGGAUCUCAUGCUUUGGUGGGUGUAUGAACAAAAACACAAGAAUGAUUACAAGGAUCAAGAAUACCUAGGUACUUGGAUUGCAUACACUGUGCCCACAAUUUUUGCUUUUUGUAUUAUCUAUUCACUGAACCUUUGGGGAAAACAACAAGAACAACAAGAACAACAACAAAAAUCAGCAUAACUUCAAUCUGUUUAUCUCUUUUCUUAAAGAUGGAAUAACUGUACAUUUCUUCUCUGAAUAGCUGAUACAAUGGAACUUAUAAUUAAAGACUAAUGAGUAGAAUGCUAUGUUGAUUUGCACAAUCCAUCUGGCUGACCUUGGCAGAAAGUGUGGAUAGACUCUGCACUAAUGGAAGAUUACACAUAGUGUGCAAUGUGGCCAGAUAAGCAAUUUUUGUGAUUUUUUUAAAUCACAAAGCAUCUUCAUUUCACUACAUUUCAUACAAACAUCUGUACCUCAUAGAGGUUCUUUGGUCAAAACAGACAUAAGAUCACAGUUCAUCUGUGCAAUUUGAUGUGUCCUUGGUUAAAAACAAACAAACAAACAAACAAGAAACUAAAGUUCAAGCUAAAAGUUAUAAAACUUCCAUUCCUUUUCAGUUUAGUAAUCUAGUUUGAAAUAAAUCUGGACAACUCAGUGCUAAAAGGCAAAUUCUUGUGUAUUGGCUUCCAGCUCCUCUGCACUCUAAAAAGAAGUAUUGUUGUUCUAAGGAAAAUUUUUCACAAAGGCUUAGAUCAGAAAUCCUUUAUAAACAAGUAUAGAGCUGCUUGAAGUACAGUAAAAAUAGCAAUUAAAUAUUAAAAAAGUAUCUCUGCAAAAAACAUCUGCACUGUUUUGUUUUUGUUUUUUCCUGAUUUUUUCCUGCAUUUGUUUCUUGAAUGUAAUUGUUCUACAGGGAAACUUUCUCUCCUUAGCAUGAACUUCCAUAAAAUAAUGUAAUCUGGCAUCAAAUUCACAUUUACUUUUUGGGUUUCUACCAGCUUUUAGACAGUUAGUUCUGCUGUUCAAAUUGAGUGCUGUUUAUGGUGGUGUUUUUUAGUAGUGCAAAUAUGCAAACUGCUGUAACUCCUAAAUGGUUUCUGUUUGACUUUUAUAGAAAAAUUGGGUGUUUCUCCAGGCACAGAGCUGUGUGCCAGAACUGUGCAAGGACUCCUUGUUUUUUAAAAAUUGUUAGCCAUUAAACCUGCCUUCUGUCUAUAAUUAUCUUCCAGAACACACCUGUUCUUAUUCAAAAAGGGCCUAAUUCUUUACAUGCGUGAACUGAUCUUCAAAUCACCUCUUCUGCAGCUGUGACACUGCUGAUAACUGUAUUGUUCUGUGAAACCAUGCCAUUAGGUAGCUUGGUUCUGCAGGCAAAAAUAGAUUUGAUAUAUAUUAUUUGAUAUGUAUAUUUGAUAGAUUUUGAAAUAACAUAGAUUUAAUCCUUUACACAGCUAGCACCUGGUAGCUGCCAAGGAAUGUCAGUGAUUGUUGACUGUAUAAAAUAUAAACUGUAUCUAGUUUUAAUGUCCAGAAGUCCAGGAAUAAAUAAAUAAAUAAAUAAAUAAACAAAUAAAUAAAUAAAUAAAUACAGUUUCUAUGUUUUUAUUCCUACACAUUUCCAAACUCCAUAUAAAUUUGCUACUGCAUACUCAGAGGUGACUGAAAGCACAAUGAGUAGGGACAGCAUAGACCCACGGUGUGUGAUGACUGAAAUAUAUUCCUGUGAGAUCUUACAUGUACAACCAGUUUCUGAAAUAUUUCCUACAGCUGACAACUGAAGCUUGGAUGCUGCAGCAGGCAGCUAGUUAACACAGAUAAACAAGCCAUUCCUUACUGUCCCAGGUUUUUCCAGGAAUAGUGUCAUUUUGUUUUAUUUCUAUAAUAGCCUUGAACAGUAAAGACUUAGCAUAGAGGUCAUUUUUAUCUUCCAUCUGUUCUUUUUCAUUGCCUUUCUCUCAAUUUUUUUUACAUGGAAACACUACAACACCUAUCUAAAUAAACAAGCAAACAUAUCCCUUCUAGAUUUUUAACUUUUAAACCAAAUGUUUUAUGAGUGAAAUCUGUUGCUGAAAGUUAGUAUGUUAUCAAGUGAUCACACAAGUCUAACAGGUGUAUCAGUGCAUGUGCCUUGCUAUACGUUUAAAUCCGCUGAGCUUAAAUGGAUUAGAGAAAAUGGAAAUCAAGACUAAUUUUUCUGUGCUAAUGAACACACUUGCAGAAAGCUUCAGAUUUUGAAUUCUUUUGAUGUGCAUGCUUAGUAAUAGAAAAACAUAUUUAUACAAUUCUUUAAUUGCAAUUUGUCUAAUGGGACAUUUUGUCUAAUGGGACAUUUUGUCUAAUGGGACGUUUCACGCUCUCUGCAAGAACAGUCACAGAACUGAUUGUACUUUAUAGUUGCAGUUGACAACAUGCCAAAGGAGUAAGAGAACUAGGAAAUUUGGUGAAAAAGUAGAAAAAAAAUACUUCUUGAAGGCUUGCUGGACACUAAAAGCUGCAUUGUGCUUUGCAAGCCUCCUGAUUCAGGGGGUUUCAGCAAACAGGAUAAGAUUUUUCUAAAACCACAUUGGCAACGACUGUUUCGCAAGUAGCUGUUCCUAGUGUCACAGGGUUCUAUCUAUUUCACAGCAUUAAGACCACCCUUUAAGCCUACAGCAAUAACACUGUAAUAGCUGAUAUGCUAAAGGCUUUUUGGAUGUGACAUUCCUGUCUCCUCUUUUCUGAACUCCUGUUCCUUUCUUCUCUUCCCCACUACAGGCUCCAACCAGACCCUUGAAAAAGCCCUGAGGAACCUUUCAGUAAUCCAAGAGAGCUGAGCUAAUGAUCCCUCAUCCCACAAGGUUCUUCUGCAUUCACUGAAAUAAAAAGAAGACCUGUCCCAUAUUCCAGAAAAAACAUGCUUAUUAAAUACAGAUGUUUUCAGAGUUCCUCCAUUUUGGCUUGUAUGCCAAACAGCUACAUCAUUCAAACCUCUGCCCCCAGAAUUAGAAUAAAAAUAAAAAUAAUAAAAACCCCACAAGUCUCUUCAUGUACUAAUGUAACCUACGAAUAUAGCAAGUAAUGCAGCAAGACUUAGCUGCAUUUCAGAGACUGUCUUUACAAUAAUCUUUCACAAAUGCACUAUGAAAGUAAUUCUCGAAGCAGUCACUAGCACAAAAACAAGAAAACAACCGCUCCCCCCCCCCAAAAAAAAAAAAAAAA
Long non-coding RNA from Anas platyrhynchos (mallard), 8660 nucleotides. RefSeq lists it as uncharacterized. The record is from RefSeq and is a predicted model, not a curated record. Lineage: Eukaryota; Metazoa; Chordata; Aves; Anseriformes; Anatidae.